AAAUUACCCUGAGAGCAGAGAGAGGAUGUUGUGAUGAAGCUCCCCAAGCGAAGGUGUGUCCCUGGAGAUUGAAGCCGUGAUCCCAAACCCACAGCAUGCCUGAUUUUGGGCUGGCUGGUUCUUGCACUCAGUGCCAGAGGACUUCGGGCUCGCUGGUGCUCACAGUCUGCUCCUCUCCAAGGUAGGAGGACUUCUGCACUCAAGGAGCAGCAGUGAACCCUGAGAUAUGAAUGCACUGCAGCCCUUCUCAGAGAAGGCAGGCAAACAAUGAUGUGCUCUGAUCCAGACUCCAGGAUGUCUCAGGAAUAUGGGAAAAAUGCAAUUCUGCUAUUGGUGAAGAGCUUGGGAAUCUGUAGGAACUGACCAGGAGUGGCAAUGAGGAGGUGUUUUUAAGGGCUUAUUUUGCUUCUCGUUAUCCUCCUCUGAUUUUGUUAGCAACAAAAUUCACUUUGCAACUUGAGUGGAACCUGUUUUGCCCCUUGACAUAUUUCUCCUGGUACUUAUCUCACUCAUGAAGUGUUCAUUAAUUUUUUUUCCCCCUCUCCUCAGCUGUGACAGAGGAGGGUGAGAGAGCGACUCUAGUGGUGGGUGCCUGGCAUUGGGCCAGUGUAAAACCACAGCAAAAAGUCACUAAAAUUUCAACUCUUCUCCUGCCCUCUCUCUCCUUUCCUUUUUUUUUCUCCUAGAUAGAUUUGCUUCAGUUUCAGAAGCCUUGAAAAUCUUUGGGGGUUAAACUAAGGCAAGAACACACUCUGCAUCCAUUUUAAUGCCUCUUCAUGGCCCCACAACAAUGUCUAGUAUUGUUCUUCUUGGGCAAUCUGAGUUUCCUCUCUUAGUUUUAAGGGCCAAACAAAAGCAAAUCAUCUGGGCACAGCCUAGAGCAGGCAGAGGGGCCCAUGGGAGGCAGGAACUGUGGUUAGCACGGUUUGUACUGGCCAUGUGUGGCUGUUCCAGCUCAUGACCCUGCCGAGAGAUUGGGUAUCUUCACCUCCUCAUAUGAUAGACUUUAAAUUGGGUUUGCUCUUGGCUUUUUAUUCUUGCCAGUCCUUGGACGUGGUCUCAGUGAUGGUAUCCAGCCUUCUCUGGCUGACUUUGAUAUCGUGGCUCGCUUUUUCUUUCCCUCAUUGUUUAGUCUUGCUUCCUAGGACUAUCUCUGUAUAGCAGUAUAGAGAUAUGUGUAUUUGUUUGCUUUUUUUCUUCAAAAUUAAUAUUAUAACUGCAGAGUCUGUUACCCAGGAAAUGUUUGGAUCAUUUCACAGUGGAUAUCUGAAUCUUAUUAGUGGGUAGUGAAGGUUACAAAAUUCUCAUACUCUCUCCUAAAAAUAUUUGGGAGGAUUUUAUGAGUGCCUCUGCAAAAUCAUUUCAUUCUAUAUUCUGGCUA
Hirundo rustica (Barn swallow) is the source of this 1381-nucleotide long non-coding RNA. RefSeq lists it as uncharacterized. The record is from RefSeq and is a predicted model, not a curated record. The transcript has 3 exons. Lineage: Eukaryota; Metazoa; Chordata; Aves; Passeriformes; Hirundinidae.